Molecule: ribosomal RNA, 511 nt
Filed under: uncultured bacterium
Lineage: Bacteria
Description: bacterial SSU rRNA
Rfam family: Bacterial small subunit ribosomal RNA
Source: RNAcentral
CUGGCGGCGUGCCUAAUACAUGCAAGUCGAACGGUCUUUCUAUGGAAGCUUGCUUCCACUGAGAAGAUAGUGGCGAACGGGUGAGUAACACGUGGGUAACCUGCCCAUAAGAGGGGGAGUAACAUCCGGAAACGGGUGCUAAUACCGCAUAGUUUUCUUGAUCGCAUGAUUGAGAAAGGAAAGACGGCCUUUGUGCUGUCGCUUAUGGAUGGACCCGCGGCGUAUUAGUUAGUUGGUGAGGUAACGGCUCACCAAGACGAUGAUACGUAGCCGACCUGAGAGGGUGAUCGGCCACAUUGGGACUGAGACACGGCCCAAACUCCUACGGGAGGCAGCAGUAGGGAAUCUUCCGCAAUGGACGAAAGUCUGACGGAGCAACGCCGCGUGAGUGAAGAAGGUUUUUCCGGAUCGUAAAACUCUGUUGUCAGAGAAGAACAAGUUGGAGAGUAACUGCUCCAGCCUUGACGGUAUCUGACCAGAAAGCCACGGCUAACUACGUGCCAGCAGCAGC